CCACCAACUUUCUCAACUUCCACUUCUCCAUCAACUCUAGUUUGUGCUUGUUCAACUCUAUGACCCUCUUCCUCCAUGACAGCCUCAACUUCUACUUCCUCCAUGACANCCAUCUCUUCUUCUUCACCACCCANCUCUUCCAACACACCACCAACUUCUUCAACACCAUGAACCUCUUCCUCCAUAACAGUCUCAACUUCCACUUGUUCUUCAUCAUCAUCAACACCCAUAACCAUAUGUAUGACUUC
This 248-nucleotide long non-coding RNA is filed under the name Vigna radiata. RNAcentral describes it as "long non-coding RNA (VRAD_LNC013698)". The record is from RNAcentral. Lineage: Eukaryota; Viridiplantae; Streptophyta; Magnoliopsida; Fabales; Fabaceae.